CACCGCUUGGGCACGGGCUGGCACAGCCUCCAGCGGCUGCUCCUCCUCAGCCUCAGCUCUCUGUGGGUCCCUCACAGAAGUCAGUUUGGUCCCAGGCACUGCUUUCAUGCUGAUUCCUUAUUUCCUGAAGGAAGCCUCCCCGGUGAGAUUGCACAAGUGAUUCCUGGGCCUGGUUAUCCGUCCUGCCCAUGGAGGAUUCCCCACGCUGCCUUCCCUUUGCUUCCCAAGAAAUGUUUUCAUUCCUUGCCGCGUUAGGAGGAGCCUCCCCACAGCCUCUUGCCGGUGGUUUUUCCAGGAGUUAAAGCCAGGAAAUCUCCAGUGAGCCUUGACCAGUGCAGUGAAGAGGAAAACCUCCCUGGCUGAGGAACGCCACGAGAGCCUCGAGAAAGGAAUCGGCUGCGGGUUCAGGAGCCGCAGGGAGAUGCAGAACCGUGCCCUGCGCUCUGCCCCGCACCACCCCAACUCUGGGAGGUGAAAAAGAUGAAACAGAGAAGGUGCACUUUGGGGUUCGUCCAGGAGUGCCUGGAAAGCGCCUGCAGGUCUCGGAUGGAGGAAAUCAAGGAUCAAACAUCCCCAGCAGCGCAGGUUUGGGGGGGCAGGACGCCAGCGGGGUCGGAGUUUGGAUCCCAGCCCGCAGCCAGGUCCUGCAGGUGCCCCUGGCUCUGUCCAUGGAUCCGGGAAUUUCACCUUCAGGAGCCUGCUGAUCCCUGUGCCUUCCCAGGAAUCAUCCAAACCCCGGGAUCGGACCCAAAACGUGACAGAGGGAAUCUUCCCCUCAGCUCCGGCUUCUCCUCCCGAUUAUAAAUCAGUCGGGUUAUUUACAUCCUCCCCUCGCCCUUCCCUUAAUGGCAGUCAAAUAAAAACG
Hirundo rustica (Barn swallow) is the source of this 865-nucleotide long non-coding RNA. RefSeq lists it as uncharacterized. The transcript is spliced from 4 exons. Lineage: Eukaryota; Metazoa; Chordata; Aves; Passeriformes; Hirundinidae. The record is from RefSeq and is a predicted model, not a curated record.